AUUGAACGCUGGCGGCAGGCCUAACACAUGCAAGUCGAGCGGAUGAAGGGAGCUUGCUCCUGGAUUCAGCGGCGGACGGGUGAGUAAUGCCUAGGAAUCUGCCUGGUAGUGGGGGAUAACGUCCGGAAACGGGCGCUAAUACCGCAUACGUCCUGAGGGAGAAAGUGGGGGAUCUUCGGACCUCACGCUAUCAGAUGAGCCUAGGUCGGAUUAGCUAGUUGGUGGGGUAAAGGCCUACCAAGGCGACGAUCCGUAACUGGUCUGAGAGGAUGAUCAGUCAAACUGGAACUGAGACACGGUCCAGACUCCUACGGGAGGCAGCAGUGGGGAAUAUUGGACAAUGGGCGAAAGCCUGAUCCAGCCAUGCCGCGUGGGUGAAGAAGGUCUUCGGAUUGUAAAGCACUUUAAGUUGGGAGGAGGGGCAGUAAGUUAAUACCUUGCUGUUUUGACGUUACCAACAGAAUAAGCACCGGCUAACUUCGUG
This 484-nucleotide ribosomal RNA is filed under the name uncultured bacterium. Its description in RNAcentral is "partial 16S ribosomal RNA". It matches the Rfam family "Bacterial small subunit ribosomal RNA", at positions 30 to 507 of the family's 1533-position model. The record is from RNAcentral.